This is a long non-coding RNA of Prunus mume (Japanese apricot), 1203 nucleotides long. RefSeq lists it as uncharacterized. NCBI's taxonomy places the organism in Eukaryota, Viridiplantae, Streptophyta, Magnoliopsida, Rosales, Rosaceae. The record is from RefSeq and is a predicted model, not a curated record.
AAACACGCAAUAAAAUAAGAAGGAAAAAAAUACAAACCCACAAAACUACAAAACUCAGCCAGAUCGUGUGAAGAGCAGCUCCUUUCAGUUUUUACCCCAAUAUCAUCCCUCAAUCAAGCAUCAGUUCAUUUCAGUUGCAGAAAACUUUUUCUUCGGUGCUCUCCUCUUCUUAUUUGCUUUCCUCCUCUCUUUUUUUCGUCUUUUGUCUUCUGAUGCUAUAUGAACUCAAGACAAGAGGAAGGGGGGUAGUGGAGAAAUUAAUUGCUCAAUUGUUUUGAGUGUUUCAAUCACCAAUUACAGUGAAUGCGUGCUUGGAAAUGGAGAGGAACUCAAUUCCAUAAAUAAAUAUUUCGGGGGUUCUUUGAUGUGGUUGUUGAUAUUUUAGUUGUCUCUAGCUCUGAUAUUCAUUUUUCUUUUCAUUUUUCAAUUGUUUAAGUAGAUACAGUUUGCUGCAGGAGAAAGCAGCACAAUAGAGACUCAAAACAGAUAGAGGGAUAGGGAAGCAUCAUGGUGAGUCAACAUAAGCAUUGAUCAUGACUUCUUCUAGCAGUGAAUCAAAGUCGCUCUUCUUCGUGGACAAGUCCAAAGAUUUAGGUUUGGCCAAAAGGUGCUGGCAAUGGCUACAGCGACAUAUCCACCACCACCACCACCGUAUAUAAGCUCUACAAAGAUUACUUGCAAAACCCCAAAAGGGACAUAAUUUGCUAUGGUGGCAAUUACACUAUGGAAUCGUCUCUCACCUCUCUGACGUAUAAGGGUUCGAUUCCAUACAUGAAGCAAAAGAAGUAGAGGAAACUAUGUAUUUCAUGUUUUUCAGGUCAUUUCUUUACUGAGCUAGACUACCAAUAGGCUACAAUUGCUACAAGGGGAGAGGCCAUCCAUGGUUGAAGAAGGGCAAUGGAUAUACCAUACACCUACCUAAAUGAGCAAAGGAAGAUUGAUGUAACAAUUAGCAAGGAGUUGCUAUAGGAUUCUAUGCAAUGAAGUGUUUCCACUACUUCAACAACAAAAUAAAGGAGGUGGGAACGAAGAUUGCUACAGAAUUGAAAGAACAGAGGAACUCUGAUUAUUCAGGAGCUGCAUACGGUCAUUAAGUCUUCAUGCUCAACAAAAUCACCCCACUCUCAAAUAUGUUAAUGAGAUAUGAGUACAUUUGCUGUUUUAUGUAGGAUCUUGGUAUUUGUAGGUAUUUUUAAUGGCGAA